GAUGAACGCUGGCGGCGUGCCUAAUACAUGCAAGUCGAGCGAACAGACGAGGAGCUCGCUCCUCUGACGUUAGCGGCGGACGGGUGAGUAACACGUGGAUAACCUACCUAUAAGACUGGGAUAACUUCGGGAAACCGGAGCUAAUACCGGAUAACAUGUUGAACCGCAUGGUUCAACAGUGAAAGACGGUCUUGCUGUCACUUAUAGAUGGAUCCGCGCCGCAUUAGCUAGUUGGUAAGGUAACGGCUUACCAAGGCAACGAUGCGUAGCCGACCUGAGAGGGUGAUCGGCCACACGGGAACUGAGACACGGUCCAGACUCCUACGGGAGGCAGCAGUAGGGAAUCUGCCGCAAUGGGCGAAAGCCUGACGGAGCAACGCCGCGUGAGUGAAGAAGGUCUUCGGAUCGUAAAACUCUGUUAUUAGGGAAGAACAAAUGUGUAAGUAAAUAUGCACGUCUUGACGGUACCUAAUCAGAAAGCAACGGCUAACUACGUG
This 497-nucleotide ribosomal RNA is filed under the name uncultured bacterium. Its description in RNAcentral is "partial 16S ribosomal RNA". It matches the Rfam family "Bacterial small subunit ribosomal RNA", at positions 28 to 507 of the family's 1533-position model. The record is from RNAcentral.